CACUGCUACUGGUGUUUUGUGAGUGAGCUCAGGAUCGGGGUUGCUGAUGUAUGGGGCACCUGGUGUGGAUAUGAAGACAGUGUCUGGUGCUACAUGUGAAGGCAUGACUGAGCUGAAAAUUGAAGGUCAAUGCUUUCAUCAUCCUGUUCCUUGGUAUACCUUGGGAUAUAGAUUAUGUCUUCAGGAAAUGGACUUCAAACUCCACACCAUCAGGACAGUAUCUGCCCAUAUGGGAAACUUGGUUGUCUCUCUCGCAGUUAAUGAUGCUGUCACAUUAUGCUAGAGAAAUCUUUUCAUAUUGGAAGAUGGGGUGUGGACAACGAGUAACAUGAGUUUGGCAUUCUGUAUCAGGAAAUGAUUUUUCUGCCCUAGGAAGGAAGGGAGUAGUAGACACUGAAAUAACAGAUCCUGUCUCUGUUCUAUCACUCAAAUAAAUUAUUUUGCUUUUCUCUCUUCCCAUAAGAGCUGUAUCUUUAGCAAUGUACCAAGUGUCUUGACAUGUAUCUGAAGAGCUAACACUACAUAUGAUUACACUGAACCUAUAUAAAGGCUAUAAUUCAGACUCUAUCCUCACUUG
Lagopus leucura (white-tailed ptarmigan) is the source of this 577-nucleotide long non-coding RNA. RefSeq lists it as uncharacterized. The transcript is spliced from 3 exons. NCBI's taxonomy places the organism in Eukaryota, Metazoa, Chordata, Aves, Galliformes, Phasianidae. The record is from RefSeq and is a predicted model, not a curated record.